UACGUAGGGUGCAAGCGUUGUCCGGAAUUAUUGGGCGUAAAGAGCGUGUAGGCGGCUCGAUAAGUCCGCUGUGAAAGUCCAGGGCUCAACCCUGGAAUGCCGGUGGAUACUGUCGAGCUAGAGUCCGGAAGGGGCGAGUGGAAUUCCUGGUGUAGCGGUGAAAUGCGCAGAUAUCAGGAGGAACACCAAUGGCGAAGGCAGCUCGCUGGGACGUGACUGACGCUGAGACGCGAAAGCGUGGGGAGCAAACAGG
Molecule: ribosomal RNA, 253 nt
Filed under: uncultured bacterium
Lineage: Bacteria
Description: partial 16S ribosomal RNA
Rfam family: Bacterial small subunit ribosomal RNA
Source: RNAcentral